GAUUAACAUACUUAUCUUAUUCUGCAGGUCAUUUCUCUAGCUAGAGCUAGUUAUUUGUGAGUACCAAAUUUCUAUCAUCAGAUCACAAAAUGCAUAAAUUCACACCAACUGGCAAUUCUCAUCAAUGACGGCAGAACACGCACAGAAAGAAUAAGAAUCUGUAUAGUUAAAAAGACACAGGGAAGGCAGGACCCUGCGUUCAAUCCAUACUAAUGAUUUCAUUGGUUAAUUUUCUCUCCUCAAAAGGCUGAGGCUUUUAUUGCUUGAGCUCUUCAUAGUGACUCAGUACAAAGAAAAGUGCACAAACUGCGCGUACAUCACAGUCACUGCAAUUCUGUUUGAACCGGCAUAUUGAUUGCUUCUGACCCUUUUACAUUUUUUUCCUAUUAUUUGAAAAGGUGCAGCUAAGUGUAGCUCAACUCAAUCGACUCAGCUGAACUUUCCAUGAAAACUUCUUGAGUUAUUUCUUUAGUUCAAAGCCAAAAAUAUUUUAAAGGGCAUUUUUAAUAUAGGCCUGUUAAGGCAUUCUGUGUGAUAGCCGUACUUUGAAUGUUAAACUACAGGUAGGCAAUGUAGUGAAGAAAACAAGGCUAGAAAUAUGGAAAGCAAAAUAAAAUGUUCAAUAUUCCCAGCGGCUAUCGGAACAGACAAAACCCUGACCUUUGUGGUGUGACAAAACAUUACAUCAUGGCAGGAUAGAUUGCCCAUGGGCGAUAGCCUGCAAAGGAAUGCUUGUUAGACAAUAAUAUUACCUUACUGGGAGAUUUCAAUAAAUAUAUAAUAAUAAUGUAAAUAAAAUUGUCCCUACCUGUGCAUCGUUUUCAGCACUGUAGCUGUACAGGACAAAAUCAAUAACCAUAUACACCCAUGGGCUCUGCAUGAUUAGGAGUUCAAAAACUCACGUGGAUCUUUCCUACAUCCCGAGGCAGAGAGACGACAAACAUGCUAGGAUGAAAGUAAUUUUUAGCCUCAAAAAAAUAUAUAAAAAAUAUAAGCCUUGAACCCAGACUUAACUUGUAGCAACUCAUGAAAUACCCAAUGUUAACAUUGUUUCAGCAAGACACUCAUCACCUCCUGCUCCCGUAUAUCAACACCUGAGAAACCGCACUGUUCCAGAUGUCCGGACAUACAUCAUACAGGGUUAUUCACUAAAAGGCGAAUUUAAGGUGAAGUGAAUUUCAAAUUUAAGAUCAAAAGAGCAGAAAUUGAAACAUUCUCUAAGCAAAAUUUCUAUAAUCUAUAUUGACUACUCUGGCCUUAAAUUUGAAAAUUCACUUUGAUAUAUCUCACCUAAUUUACUUUCAGGACACAGAUUCAUUUCCUAUGCCAGAACAUGCAAUGGGAUAUAAGAGCAAAACACAGCAGCUGACAGACCACCAGAGAGCAUCGAUAUCAGGGGAUUACCUGUAGGGCGAAGCCUGGCAUACUAUGGCGUUUUGAAGACUAGUUUGCUUAGUAGUUGCUUGAAGCAUGUAAGAAAGCAACACAUAGUAAUGCUCUCCAAAUGCAGAGGACACGUCCUUCACAGCAGGUCUCAUUACAGGGUUACUCUAAGCAUCGUAACCACUAAAGCCCACUGCCAGUACUCUGGCAUUGGUCCAUUGUAAUGCAGUGAACCAUUUAACAACGGUUUGCACCUUAACCUUGGUUCCCACCCACUCUGAAGCCCCCUGGUGGUCAAGUGACAUGCUUCUGCAGAGUUGGUACCAGCUGUCCGCUCUAAGCACAUGAUUGACAGACAUUUUAUGCAAUGAAGUUUGCACAGAGAUUGUCAUUAGCCAGUCCAGCACUCUAGUUCCAUGGUGGAAGCUCAGUGACACUGCAGAAGGUUGAGUUACACCUCUAGUAGUAGAGUGCUUAAACUCUGUAUGUGUAGCCUUUCACAGCGAAAAUCUGCACCUAAACACUUUAAAAUCACUGAAGACAUGAUGUUUAGAGGAACCUUUUAAACUAUCUUGGUUAAUUAGCAGGCAAAUAUUGUGCUGUAAGUCUUAUCCUUUUGGAAGAUACUAUGUUGCUGCACAUCUACAUUGAGCACAUCUGGUGAUGCUUGCGUAAACCAUUCUACAGUUUUAGAAGGUCCUACAAGCUUCUUUUGCCAAUACUGACCUAGUGGAAGACUAACGGAGAUGCAAUAAUCUCAAGAUCCCGUGUAUCUCAGAGGCAAUUCAAGCACCAAACUCCCUCCAUUACAGCAGAUU
Pelobates cultripes (western spadefoot toad) is the source of this 2201-nucleotide non-coding RNA. The record is from the annotation of a GenBank genome assembly. Lineage: Eukaryota; Metazoa; Chordata; Amphibia; Anura; Pelobatidae.